This 97-nucleotide vault RNA is filed under the name Balearica regulorum gibbericeps (East African grey crowned-crane). Its description in RNAcentral is "Balearica pavonina gibbericeps Vault RNA". It matches the Rfam family "Vault RNA". From Rfam's summary of the family: This family of RNAs are found as part of the enigmatic vault ribonucleoprotein complex. The complex consists of a major vault protein (MVP), two minor vault proteins (VPARP and TEP1), and several small untranslated RNA molecules. It has been suggested that the vault complex is involved in drug resistance. Lineage: Eukaryota; Metazoa; Chordata; Aves; Gruiformes; Gruidae. The record is from Rfam by way of RNAcentral.
GGGCCAGCUAUAGCCCAGGGGUUACUUUGGUGUUUCACAAGCUUGUUGUGUUUCACCCCGCAAGGGGUUCGAUCCCACGGGCACCUCUGGUCCAUUU